This 11650-nucleotide long non-coding RNA is filed under the name Daucus carota (carrot). RNAcentral's name for it is "long non-coding RNA (DCAR_LNC001131)". Lineage: Eukaryota; Viridiplantae; Streptophyta; Magnoliopsida; Apiales; Apiaceae. The record is from RNAcentral.
AUUUGUGGUUCCCAUUUCAUACCUGAAUGAUCCUGCCUUCCAAGACUUGUUAAAUCAAGCUGAGGAAGAAUUUGGGUUCAGCCAACCAGAAGGCGGCCUCACUAUUCCCUGCUCAGUGGACACAUUCAUUCACCUUACUUUACGCCUAGAUAUAUUGACAAAAAAAAAAAAUUGAUCAAUAUAUUGAACACAAAAAUUUGAUACUCAAAUCUGUAAGUUUUGCAUGUAAUGUAAAGCAAAUUAUAUGUAGGCAGGGACUUCGAAAUUGAUCAAAGAUUUAAACUGUGAAUGUUAUGUCUGGUCAGAGUUGGAAAGUUAAACUUCUCUACCCAGAACCAAUAAAUGACUUUAGGUACUAAAAUGAAAAGAAAACUAAAGGAAUGAAACAUCAAGCUUAUCAGUAGCUUACAUGAAGACUCCAUAAAAAGCUGCACAACUGAAAUUAGAGGGUUGAGUCUGUCAAUUAUUAGAGUGAUAUUGAAUAAACAUGUUCUUCACAUCCAUCCAAUGAGUUCGCGGCAAUUCCAGGAUAGCAAUAUGUAUGAAUAAAUUGAUACUAGUCAACUAAGCAAAAGAAAUUCUUCACUGAUAUCUAAUAAACAUAUUUCUGUGUAAUGAGAUGGUUACAAUAAUCUUUUCUAGGUUAUCAAAUGGAAGCGGAUUGACUAGUACACAGUACCAACUACAACCUUACAAAAUUGGUAGUACCAGAUAAUAGCUAUAUGUUAGUACAAUCUGCGCAAGACUAAACUGAGGUUAACCAAUGUCUUCUCUACAAGGAAAACCCACUCCAGACUAUAGAGAGAUGGAAAUUGCUCUUCUUUUGAACAAUUACGUUUGUGAUUGGAAGCAAUAAUGUAUAAAGCUGCUUAUCUAUAUUUCAAAUAAAACAUAAUGACUACAUAAUGAUUGCAGAGAUCAAAUCCAUUUAGAAAUUAAUGUCUCAAAUUACAAAGUAUCAGGUAAUGUUCUACCUACAAGAUUUAUUAGAAAUUCCUGGACUAGUUUACAAAAUUUUUACACUAUCUAACAACAUAUAUAUAAACUUUCAUAAUCUGUUCAAGAGAUCAAUGAAGGUGUCUUCUUUGCAUGGAAUUGUGAGGCCACCUUUUGGAUGACUAAACCCAAAUUCUUCCUCAGCCUGACUUAACAGGUCUUGGAACGUAGGCUCGUUUAAGUAAGAGAUCGGAACUACAAAUCUUCUUCUUUGGUUCUCCCCAACAUAGACUGCAACACAUCCCUUCGGGACAUUUGUUCUGUAAUCAAGAUUUUUUAAGGAAAAUUGUCUGUUGAGAAUUUGCUUGAGAUUAGUGAUAUGAGGCACACGAAUACCCAUGAUGCUCAAGAAAAAUUGAAACUUCAACGGAUAAUCUUUGGAGAUAUGGAAAAUACAAGAACUUCUGCCGAUGGAAGGCUUAGACCUUAAUUCCACUUGGUUUUGUGAUGAAUUUGGUUGAGGAUAUCACAGUUUUUAUAUAGAAAUAACAAGUAAUGAGCGGUUGAUCAAAAUGCAGAUUGAGUGGCACAGAUGGAUUAGGCAAUAGCACAUGCUAUUCUCUUUCAAAGGCCACACAUAUUUAAGAGUAAUGCUAGGACUUGAAUGUCUGCUGAGAGACAUCAUGUCCUACUGCUUCUGUUCAACAAAUCUGGACCUGAUAUUUUCUCAUGUUCUACUGAUAGUGGAGAUAAGACAGAAUAUAACGUAAUAUAUACGGAUAUGAACAAGGUACAAAUAAUUGGGUGGAAAGUCCUCACUUUGCCUGGCAAGCAAGGUAGCAAAUUUUAAGAAGUUAGUUUUUGUGGUCAGUAGUUGUGGGUGGGACGGACAAGUUAAGUGCUCAUGUGAUAGUGUUUUCAUUCACCUAUCCUAGCUGUUUAUUUUUUGUGCAGUAGGAAACACCUGAUACAAGUUGUUAUAUUCACGAAAGAAAGGGCAAAUCUUUGUAAGAAACAGAUUAUUAGGAUUUUGUGUGGUAGGAAACACCUCAUAUAAGUUCUCAUAUGUUUACAUUCACAACAGAAAGAAUAAUUUCAAGAAUAAACACUCAAAUUUUUUUAAGUACUGCAAUUCAUUUCUCAUACAAUGCUCAAGCAAGAAGUGAGUUUAAAGAAUAUGUCUACUUAACAUGGAAUAGUAAGACCACCUUCUACAUGAUCAAAUCUGAAAUCUUUUUGAGCUUGAAUAAUUAAUUCUUAAAGGGAGGUUCACUUAAAUAUGCAAUCGGAUCUACUUCUCUGGCCUCCCCAACAUAAACAGCCAUAAGCCUUUUGGAACAACAAGCACUGUUGAACUAGCAAGAUAUCUCAACACAGAAGACUGAUGGAUAACAAAAUAAAAGCCAUACGGUUUUCAUGGUGUAAUAACAAAAUUGACAAGAACGAUUAUAUAAUGAAAGUAGAUGUAGAGGAAAAUUUAGAUUGUGCGGCUAAUUAGUUUACGCUGACUUGUUUGCAGUUCCCUUUUUCUGCGAUUAGAUAUAAAAAGGAGAAAUAAAUUUUUAUCUAAAAUGUGAAAGAUCCACACGCCUUUCUCUUUGGCUCACCACAUAGAUUAACAACUCAGAGGCCAUAUCUAUUUCUGCUAGGAAACAUCUCAUGUUCCCAAUUGAUUGCUGAUGUGCACUACCUGAAAAUCAAUACUUCUGCAUCAGAUAAAGAUUUCAAGAGAGGGUAGCACAUGGGUCUGUAUCCUACUGCUUCUUGUACCACAAAAUCCUAGUACAUGCUUCAGACAAGGAUUAGAAGGUUGAUUUUAUGUUUGAUUAUCUUAAAAAUUCAAAUAACUGGACACCUAAAUAUUCAAGGGAGAGCUAUCAGACAACUAAGAAAUUUGAUUAUCCUUGGUAUUUGUAGGGCAAGUUGUGUCUUGGUAAGCAGACACAUAUCCCACACUCCUCCAACUUUGCUAUUCAUUAUGUAUUUGUAGGACAUCAUCAUGUGCUAGUGACUUAUUAUUUCAUUUUCAGUGUUCAAGAAACCUUCUAUAUAAACAUAGGGACUUUGACAUAAAUCAACACAAGCAAACUAGCAAACCUUCAUUUCUUUCAUCAAGCAUCGUCUCAUCCUUUCCCUCUCGACAUCCAUUUUAAGAAUACCAACUUAGAAACAUGGGUAUCCGCAUGCCUCGUAUUCCUCAUGUCAAGAAAAUUUUGCAGGGGUCUUCUUUUGCAACUACAGCAGUUUCAGACGUCCCAAAGGGCUGCUUGGCAGUUUAUGUUGGGGAGAGCCAAAGAAAAAGAUUUGUUGUUCCAAUUUCGUACUUGGCUGAGCCUGCCUUCCAGGACUUGCUAUGUCAAGCUGAGGAAGAAUUUGGUUUUGAUCAUCCAGAGGGGGGUCUUACAAUUCCCUGCAGAGAAGAUGUGUUUACAGAUCUCGCCUCAAGCUUGAGAAGAAAAUCAUAGAGAAGAACCUGAUCAAAAUAAGUAGUUUAGAAAUUUUUUGUAAGCUAGUAGGAGAUAAGUUAGAAAAGGUAGGACCAUAGGCAUUUAGGCAAAAACUUUCUUCCAGUGUCUCAAGGAAUCAUUUUCAAUGAGGAAGAUCAUUACUCAAAAUUUUGUAAAUUAUUAAACUAUAUACAUCCCAAUUAUAUUUUUAUGAUCUAAUUAUGUUGUUUGCAAAUAAAUUCCCAUCUGUUAUCAGUUCCACAUUAUUCUGAAAUUAAUCGAAAUUGGCAUAUAUUAUUCUGAGAUAAAUUUCUUGAAAAUUGAUAUGGGAGUGGGAGAAAGCAGUCCCUUAUCUUAUAUUCCUAUAUUACAGAAAGAAUUAGUCAGAACCUAUCUACAGUUACUCUGUGAUCAUAUUUACUGUUAGACCGAAAUUGAUCAAGCAUCGACCUGCGGAAGAUACUUAUCAGUAACUUUGAUAGUCAAAUCAGUAACUUUUGCAUGUAAUGUAAAUCUCCUUGUCAAAGAUUAAAACUGUGAACGUCAAGUCUGGUCAGAGUUGGAAAGUUAAACUUAUCUACCCAGAACCUAUAGAUGAUGUUAUUGAUAAAAACAGCAAACUUCAGAUGCAAUGAUUGAUGAAAAAAAAAUGGAAUGCAACGUCAAGAUUAUCAGUGGCUUACAUGAAGACUACAAAAAAACCUGCACAACUGAAAUUGGAGGGUUUAGGAUGUCAACUGUUAGAGUGAAAUUAAAUAAAGAUGUUCUUCACAUCCAUCCAAAGAGACCUUGGUAAUUCCAGGAUAUCAAUAUGAAUGAAUAAAUGGAUUCUUCACUGAUGAUUUCUAAAAAACAUAUUUCUGCGAAACUAGAAAUUAAGGCCUGCAGUCUAGCACAAAAGCCUGAGGCAAAGUUUAAACGUGAAAUACAUUAAAAGCCCCUACAAGGCACGUGCUUUUAAUUUAAAUCAUAUCUCUAAUUAAUUGCUCACUAUAUAUGUAGAAUUUGAAUUUAAUGUAUUUAGUUUUGUUUUUAAAUCUUAAAAUAAAACUUUUUGAACCUCCGCAUAGAAAAAAAGACCCGAAUAACACAAUUUUGGAGUUUAAUACCCUGAAUAACAAAUUUUAUAAAAAUGGCCUCAUCUGACAAGUAAAGCCGCUUGGCUAUUAGCGUUUAAUGUAAAGGGGCAACGCUAAUGCUUUUAGCGUUUUUGAAGUACGCCCCAGGGUCUAGUCUUUCUUUUUACUGGCACAAACACACACAACACACUGGUGCUCUCCUUGAAAUAAAUUAAUAUAUAUAUAUAUAUAUAUAUAUAUAUAUAUAUUUUGACCUUUUAACAUGUUUUUUCGAAAAAUAUAAAAAAUAUUGGUUCAAUUUAAUAAAGUAAAUCAACAAUCGUUAACAUUUAGGUUUUAAGUUUGGGUUGUAAAAUGAUUAAUUCAUACUUUAAAUUAAAUUGGCCGACGGUUAGGGUUUAGGAUUGAGGGUUUAGGGCCGUUAGGCCCUAAUCCCUCGAGCCUAAACCCUAAUUAAUGCGAGGCUUUAGGGCCGAGGCCCUAAAGCCGAGAAACCGGCUGAAUAAAUUAAUUUACAAUCGUUAACAUUUAGGGUUUAGGUUUGGGUAGCAGAAUGAUUAAUUCGUACUGUAUAUUAAAUUGGCCGACGGUUAGGGUUUAGGAUUGAGGGUUUAGGGCCGUUAGGCCCUAAUCCCUCGAGCCUAAACCCUAAUUAAUGCGAGGCUUUAGGGCCGAGGCCCUAAAGCCGAGAAACCGGCUGAAUAAAUUAAUUUACAAUCGUUAACAUUUAGGGUUUAGGUUUGGGUUGCAGAAUGAUUAAUUCGUACUAUAUAUUAAAUUGGCCGACGGUUAGGGUUUAGGAUUGAGGGUGUAGGGCCGGUAGGCCCUACUCCCUCGAGCCUAAACAUUAAUUAAUGCGAGGUUGCAGGGCCGAAGGCUCUAAAGCCGAGAAUCCGGCGGAAUAAAUUAAAUUAACAGUCGUUAAUUAACAUUUACGGUUUAUAUUUGGGUUUUAAAAGAAUUAAUUUUUGCAUGGCAUUAAAUUAUUAAAAUAAAUUAAUUGUUGUUAACAUUUUAGGGUGGAUGAUUAAUACUUGAAAAUUAAAAACAAAACAAAAUAAUAAAUAAAUAAAAAAAUAAUUAUAAGAUUAUUGUUAUAAUAUAAAAAAGAUUAUAAGAUUAUUGUUAAAUGAAAUUUAAAAAAGGUGUAGUUAUAAUUGUAAGAAUAGCUGGUUAGCAACUAGCGUUUUGACAACUCUUAAUAUGCCGUAAAGCGCUAUUCUCAAAAGCGUUUUAGUGAAUUUCGAAAACUAGUAAACGCCAAACAGUGUGUCGUUUGUCUUGGUUUGAAUGAAAAAAAAAAUAUACCAAUGCUACACUAAUUAAGUAGCAUUUUAGUGAGCACUAUUGGAUAGCCCAAGUAGUUGAGGGCUUAUCCUCUAUUGGCCCAGGUACUGGGUUUGACUCUGGCUCACCUCGAGAAUAUCUGAGAACAGAUACUCACAUUGUAAGGCUAUAAACCAUAUUAGUCAAAAAAAAAAAGUAGCAUUUUAGUUGAUUAAAAAACCAAAACGCUACAUACUAAACCAACAAUUUGGGGCCGAAACCCGUAUGCAUAUUCUAAUUAUUUAAUACUCAAUUUAUUGUUAGCAAUUCAAUAUUACCAAGAUAUAUUAAUUAAGAUUAUCCUCAAUAACAUCUGUUUAUUAAAACUCCUAAAGCAUUUGUAAUAUACUAAACCAACAAAACAGACGUCUGGCAAAUGUUGAUAGUAUAUUCAUCAGCGUGCUCAAAACAUGUAAAAGUUUACAUGAAAGUCUCAGUCAGAAUACAACUUCUAGACUAGUUUAGAAAUUUUGUACACUAACAACAUAUAACUUUUUACAUAUCUGCAGACAUGUAGAAACUUUCAUAAUCUGUUCAAGAAAUAAAUGAAAGUGUCUUCUUUUUGCAUGGAACUGUGAGGCCGCCUUCUGGAUGACUAAACCCAAAUUCUUCCUCAGCUUGACUUAACAGGUCUUGAAAUGUAGGCUCAUUUAAGUACGAGAUGGGAACCACAAAUCUUCUUCUUUGGUUCUCACCAACAUAAACUGCCAUGCAUCCCUUAGGGACAUUUGUACUAAAAUCAAGAUUUGUAGAGGAAAAUUGCCAUUUGAGAAUUUGCUUGAGAUUAGUGACACGAGGCAUGCGGAUACCCAUGAUGCUAAUCAAAAAUUAAAGUUUUCAGGUAAACUUUGGGGAUAUGAAACUACAAGGACUUCUGCAGAUUGAAGCUUCGACACCAGAAUACACUCAAUUCUGAAAUGACUUUGCUUGAGUUUCCAGCAGGGUUUAUAUAGAAUAUUGAGCUGUUAAUCAAAUUGCAGAUUGAGUGACACAGAUGCAUUAGACAUUAGCACAUGCUAUUUUCUUUGAAUAUCCUAAGGGUAGGACUUGUAUGUCUGUGAGUGACAUCUUGUCCUAUUACUUGUGUUGAACAAUUCCCUAACCUGGUUUUUGCUUUAAAAUUAUAGUUGAGAUAAGAGAGUUUAUAGUGGAGACUGUCAAGUUCGUCAGGCGAGGGAUUAAAUCUCAAGCUUUUAUUGGACAGGCAAGUUUGGUGCUCAUGUGAUGGUGUUUUCUUGACCUAUCCCAGCUGCUUCUUCCAAACAGAUUAUCAGAUAUCUUUGACAUGGUCUAGCUGCAUUAUGUGAAAAUAUCAACUUGGAGCUGGAAGAAACACUGUCACAUGAACACUUAUUAUUCCAACCCCACCAUAAUCAGUGAAGACAAACCCGAAACAUAAAAUCCAUAUCAUGCCACCCAGAUAAACCUUUGGAGGAGUCUUUAGCCAUAGACUAGUGAUUUUGUGUGCUCCAUGUUAAAUCUGCGGUGCAUUUAUGCCCUUUCUUUUAAUUUGUAUAUUACUUAUACACAUAUAACUGUAGGACAUCAAAUUUUCUUCAACAAACGUAUUACAGGCCAAAAUUACAUAUUGAGUCGUGAUUUAUUAUACAGACGUAGUAGGACACUCUGUCUCCCAACACAUAUAGAUGUCCACCUAUCAGUCAUUAAUACGUGUGGCUACUGAAGAAAAAAUCAUGUGCUAGUGUCUAAUGCCUACUCACCGCUCAAUGUACCAUUUGAUGAGAUCGAUGUUCUACACAACUUUCUGAUUGUUCUAUAUAAACACAUAAUUAAGCGAUACUAACAUUCAUCACAAACUCACUGGUCUAAAGUCUUUUCCUCAAAACUAUACAAGUCUAGUGUUUCUUCAGUUUCCUGAACUCUUCCCUGGAAGAUCUAAAGUGUCAUGGGUAUCCGUAUGCCUCGUAUUACUAGUUUCAAACAAAUCCUUAACCGCUCAUCUUUGUUAUUAAAUCCUGAUCUUACUUCAAUGAUUCCAAAGGGGUGCUUGGCAGUUUAUAUUGGGGAGAGGCAAAGAAGCCGAUUUGUGGUUCCCAUUUCGUACCUGAAUGAGCCUGCCUUUCAAGAAUAGUUAAGUCAAGCCGAGGAAGAAUUUGGAUUCAAUCAUCCGGAAGGAGGUCUUACAAUUCCUUGCUCAGAGGACACAUUCAAUGAAAUCACUUCGCGCCUGAACAAUUUAUAUACUUGUAGAUAGUAUAGCACCUCCGAUCUCAUUUGAUGAGUUUCUGAGUGUAAAUUGCAGAACAUAUAGGAUUUAUAUAUAAUUUUUUGUAGGUAAAGCUUAAUUUGAUACUCGAUUUUUUUGAACAUAUUGACCAUCACAUAUAGUCAUAGAUACUUUUAUUUCUCUAAAGCAUAAUACUAAUUUGAUAAACUUUAUGCCUAAAACAAAUCACUGACACAUAAGGCCGCCAUUUUUAGCAAUUCCAAAUGGCUGCUUAUAUUGGGAACAUCCCAAACAAAGGAAAUUUGUAUUUACUGUUUCAUACCUUAAUUUUGCAAUUGUCUUGAUAAAUCAGCCUUGACAGAAGGGUGAUUUUUGCUAACUCUUAAUUAAAAUUUAUAUUUAUAAGCAGUUCUGACUAAUUUAUAAAUAUAUCUCAGGCAUAGUUUAACCUAUUUAAGUCAUUUAUUAUCACGAAUACUCCUUCUGCUCCUCAGCCUACAGUGGUUAUUAGUUAGCACUUUGUGUAUCAAUGUGUGCAAUGUUGUAGCUAACGCGUUAACUAUCGGGUCUGGGUAGUGCUUUCGCAAGAAUGAAACCUUUUGUUGUUGACCUACCCAAUCGAAAUCAUCAUAAGACUCGUGAUGAUCAACCUUCCGAAUAAGUUCCCAUCGUAUUCAGGCUUUUCAACAAAUUAAGUUAAAAUUUUGUAAUUUUCCUGCAAAGCCUUCUAAGAUCUAAUACAAAUUAAAAUAAAUACUGUACAUAAAAUUUUAUAAGAACUUGACAGAAACUACCCUAACAAUUUCACAUUCUGCCUCUCAAAUCAGAAAAUUUAAAUUUUAAGGUGUUUUUUGUUAACAGAUUAAGAUUUAUAUAAGUCUAAACAAAUCAAUGUGUGUUUUAAAAAAUAAAAAGACUUUUGUGCAUUCCCUCUAGCCGCCUCCUCCAUCUUUUCAUUCCCGACGGGGCUUCCAUCGGUUUUCCGGUGGAAAGCCCCAAAUCUUUCCGUUUGAUUGCUAGUUCUUUGAUUGUUUUUGCUUUUCAUUGAUUUUCUUAAUAAAUCUCCUUCUUUAAGGGGGAAAAUUUCUUAGAUCUAUAUCACCGAACUUUUGAUUUUCGUUCUUAUUCGCUUCCAGAAGGCUUUUUGGAUUUGUGGGUGGAUCGAUUAUCUCUACGUGUCGUGGUGCAGAUCUAAUUGCUUUAGUUUUUAGUUGGAUUUUCUCUAGUUUGUUUGGAUUAUAGUUUGAUUUCUCUCCCUGGUGAGAGUGUGUGAUUUUUCUCUCCUCUUUUGUGAGAGUUGGUUUGGAUUCAUCGAUAAAAGCCUUCGAGAAGUGCAUUUGUGGUUGAUAGCUCAAACGGAGUUUUUGAAAAAGAUAAUGAACACAGAGCAAGGAUCUAUACAUGUACCAUCGUCAAUUUCAACAUCGCUUAUUUGUCUCAUCUUGACUAUGAAGACAGGCAUGUUAAUAUUUUCUAUGUUUGUUCGACUCGAUCAUUCUUGUAGAUGCCGUAUGGCUAUUAUUUAAUGAAUUAUUUCCUUUUCUUCAAAAAAAAAAAAAAGAUUUAUAUAAGUCUCAGUCUUAUAUAAAAUGUCUGGACUAGUUCAAAAAAUUUGUAAAGUAUCUAAGAACAUAUCACUAUGUAUGUAUCUGUACACAUAUAUAUAAACUCUCAUAAUCUGUUCAAGAGAUCAAUGAAGGUGUCUUCUUUGCAUGGUAUUGUGAGGCCGCCUUCUGGAUGACUAAACCCAAAUUCUUCCUCAGCUUGACUUAACAGGUCUUGAAACGUAGGCUCAUCUAAGUAUGAGAUCGGAACCACAAAUCUUCUUCUCUGGUUCUCCCCAACAUAAACUGCCAUGCAUCCCUUAGGGACAUUUGUACUACGAUCAAGAUAUGUGGAGGAGGAUUGGCGGUUUAGAAUAUGCUUGAGACUAGUGAUACGAGGAACACGGAUACCCAUGAUGCUAACAAAAAAUUUGUAGUAUUCAGGAUAAACUCUGCUGAUAUUGAAAUACAAGGACUUUUGCAGAUGGAAGGCUUAGACACUUGAAUACAAUUGAUUAUGUGAUGAAUUUGGUUGAGUUUGUGAUAGCGGUUUUAUAGAGCUCGGAAGUAUUGAACAGUUGAUUGAAAUGCAGAUUGAGUGGCACAGAUGCAUUAGGCAUUAGCACAUGCUAUUCUCUUUCAAUGGCCACAUAUGUUUAAGACUAAUGGUAAGACUUAAAUGUCUGUUAAGAGACAUCAUGUCCUACUACUUUUGCUCAACUAAUCUGAACCUGAUAUCUUCUUAUUCAACCAUAUGUUUGAUGCUUAUAGCAUAGCUAAGAGAGUAUAUAAGCCUAAAAUACACUUAUAUGAACGCCAUACAAAUAAUUUGGGUGGAAACUCUUGAGUUUUAGGUGGGACAGACAAGUUAGGUGCCCAUGUGAUGGUGUUCUCUUCCCCUGUGUUAGCUGUUUAUUUUGUUGAUUUGAUGAAUCAUUUAGUAGAAAACAGUGGCUGCUGGGGCUUAAUCAAGCAGACGCAGUAAGGUUGAUGUCUCGCAACACACAGAAAUCAAAUAUUCUUGGUCUUAUAUACUUGUGCUAGUGUCUACUGCUUCUUCACCACUCGGAUAAUAUUUCUAAUAAAUUGUUUAAGUAGUUCUAUGUUCUAUAUAUACUUAUAUUUAAGCAUUAGUAGAAUUCAUCACAAACUCAAUUGCUUCAAGCUUUAAACUUACAUUUCCUUGUGUUUCUGUUGUUUUCCUCAACUCUUCAGUAAAAGAUCCUUGAUAAGUAGGGGCAUGCUGUCUUGCAACAGACAGAGAAGUCAUUCAAUCAGUCAUAAAUAUAUGUAGCUAUUGAAAGAGAAAAUCAUGUGCUAGUGUCUAAUGCCUCUUCACCACUCAAGUUACAUUUUAAAGAACUGUUCAAUUUUCUAUAUAAAUACAUAGCUGGGCAUUAGUAAAAUUCAUCUCAAACUCAACUGUCUAAAGUCUUCACUAUACAAUUCCUUUUCUUUCUCCAUAUUCUCUAAUUGAUCUAAUAGUAUUAUGGGUAUUCGUAUGCCUCGUGUUACCAAUCUCAAGAAUAUCCUAAACCCGUCUUCUUUCUUGAUAAGUCCUGAUUAUACUUCAACAGUUCCGAAGGGUUGCUUGGCAGUAUAUAUUGGGGAGAAGCAAAGAAGACGAUUUGUGGUCCCCGUUUCAUACCUGAAUAAUCCUGCCUUCCAGGACUUGUUAAAUCAAGCUGAGGAAGAAUUUGGGUUCAGCCAACCAGAAGGCGGCCUCACUAUUCCCUGCUCAGUGGAAACAUUCAUCCACCUUACUUCGAGCCUAGAUAGAAUAUAGUCAGAAAACAUUUAUGUACAGGUAGAUAGUACAGCAUUAAAAUGUAAUUAGUAGAAAGGAGAAUUUUAUAGAUUUUGUUGGCAACGGAUAAUUUGAAACUCACCAUUUUGUUGAAUUUAACAUUACCAAAAUUUAUUGAUCAUAGUUUCUACUUAUAAAUUUAGAUAUAAAAAGAGACCAUGCAACUAUUAAACUGAUGGAGAGAAAUUAUUACACAGCACACGGAUUUCCUUUAUGAAUCUUAAGUAUCCAAGAAGAUAUAAAAAGGCCAGAAUCUGAAAAACUAACUCCAUCUGACUUCGCAUAGAAAAGAAGAUGUUACAUGUGGAAACUCCCAUAUCUUC